Fomitiporia mediterranea MF3/22 is the source of this 377-nucleotide intron RNA. It matches the Rfam family "Group I catalytic intron". From Rfam's summary of the family: Group I catalytic introns are large self-splicing ribozymes. They catalyse their own excision from mRNA, tRNA and rRNA precursors in a wide range of organisms. NCBI's taxonomy places the organism in Eukaryota, Fungi, Basidiomycota, Agaricomycetes, Hymenochaetales, Hymenochaetaceae. The record is from Rfam.
CCAGAAAAGUUAAAGGUUAGCUUUUAAGAGCAGACUCAAAGUGUUCUGCUAGUAGGAUUACUAGUUUCAGUAAUUCUGCAAGACUGUCAAAGUGCGGGGAGUUCCUUAGAGCCUUUCCUACUGCUACUAUAAGGAAACUUGUAGUGUGCACCAGGGUAAUGACCUCGGGUAUAGUAAUAACGGAAAGGAUUGGAUAAUCCGCAGCCAAGUCCUAAGGGUAUUAUUAUUAUUAUAAUUAUUGUAAUAAUAUCUAUGGAUGCAGUUCAACGACUAGAUGUCAGUCGGUUCUAAGUAUAAUUGUAAUUACUAUUAUUACUAUUACCAUUAUUAUUAUACUUAGGGCUUAAGAUAGAGUCUGUCCCUUCAGAAAUGAAGUC